RNAcentral lists this small nuclear RNA (107 nucleotides) under Colobus angolensis palliatus. Lineage: Eukaryota; Metazoa; Chordata; Mammalia; Primates; Cercopithecidae. The record is from RNAcentral.
GCGUUCAAUUCAGCAGCACACAUACUAACACUGGAACAAUUCAGAGAAGAUCAGCAUGGCUCCUGCGCAAGGAUGACAUGCAAAUUCAUGAAGCGUUCGUAUUUUUA